GUUGGUUUUUCUCUUUAAAAAUUAUUUGAGGGGCUGGUUUGGUUUAGUUGUAAAACACAAUUAAAAAGGGAAAACGCCAUCGUGGUUAUCAGAUCGAGCAAAAAAAAAGCGGCUACACAAGAUCGAUGGGGGAAAUCACCGUCCUCACUCAUCGGGAAAAAAAAGGGACGAUCACAGAAAUCGGGGGUCAUCGGAGGUGGGUUAUUAGUUUGCGAUGAGGGGAGAAGGGUCCAUCAAGACCAGCGACCCUCCUGUUCUUCGUGACUUCAUCGCCGGCUGCAAGGAAAAAUGAAAGGGAAACAACAGCAGUGAUUGGCGGUGGUGUAACAGGUGUUGAGUUGGCUGUUCAGUGGGCAAAGCAAACAACGAAAGGUAAGUUGUUCUAGUCUCUUGUGGAUUCGACUAGAGAGAAGAGGAGAUACGAGGGGUUGCUGCCCUCUUUGAGUGUCGGAGAUCUCCACCUCCUGUGGAGUUUUCUAUGAUUGAAAUUGAAGAAGAGGGGAAUACAGGAAGCAAAAUCAAACAAUGAUAUUAAGGGUCGUUUUGUUGUUUCAAUUGACAGAAAAUAAAAGGAGAAAGAAAACGGGGAUGCUCCCCUCUUGGUCUCGCCGGAAACAGCUACCACCAUCGGUGGUUCCUUGAGCGGUAAAUCACGAAGAAGAAAAAAGAAAGAAGAGAGAUAAUUUGAAGCAAUGAACCCAUUACAGGUAGUCCAAGGCUGAAAAUCUCUUAGCUUUCUAUAUGAUUUGGUUGUACCA
Molecule: long non-coding RNA, 758 nt
Filed under: Lactuca sativa (garden lettuce)
Lineage: Eukaryota; Viridiplantae; Streptophyta; Magnoliopsida; Asterales; Asteraceae
Description: long non-coding RNA (LSAT_LNC002386)
Source: RNAcentral